RNAcentral lists this ribosomal RNA (471 nucleotides) under uncultured soil bacterium. RNAcentral describes it as "bacterial SSU rRNA". It matches the Rfam family "Bacterial small subunit ribosomal RNA", at positions 26 to 500 of the family's 1533-position model. The record is from RNAcentral.
AGAUUGAACGCUGGCGGCAUGCCUUACACAUGCAAGUCGAACGGCAGCACGGGAGCAAUCCUGGUGGCGAGUGGCGAACGGGUGAGUAAUAUAUCGGAACGUGCCCAGUCGUGGGGGAUAACGCAGUGAAAGCUGUGCUAAUACCGCAUACGAUCUAUGGAUGAAAGCGGGGGACUCGCAAGAGCCUCGCGCGAUUGGAGCGGCCGAUAUCAGAUUAGCUAGUUGGUGGGGUAAAAGCCCACCAAGGCGACGAUCUGUAGCUGGUCUGAGAGGACGACCAGCCACACUGGAACUGAGACACGGUCCAGACUCUACGGGAGCAGCAGUGGGAAUUUGGACAAUGGGCGCAAGCCUGAUCCAGCAAUGCCGCGUGCAGGAUGAAGGCCUUCGGUGUAAACUGCUUUUGACGAACGAAAAGGUCCUUUCUAAUACAGGGCUAAUGACGGUACGCAAGAAUAAGCACCGGACUAA